Molecule: long non-coding RNA, 5708 nt
Organism: Salvelinus fontinalis (brook trout)
Lineage: Eukaryota; Metazoa; Chordata; Actinopteri; Salmoniformes; Salmonidae
Exons: 2
Source: RefSeq, a predicted model, not a curated record
AGGCGUGGUUUGAAUGUGGCGCUCUGGAAAAUUCGAUGGAUUAUCAGGUUAAAAGGAAACGUCUUGAAAUAAAUGAUGAAGGGACCAAUGCCAGGAAUACUACUCUAGUAGUGUCGCACUUUAUUGUCCAGAAUGUUCGCAGGACAUGCUACUGAGGAGAUGGGCCAUAGGUGAGUCCUUUCUGCCUAAGAGGUGGGAUAGGGCUUGGAUCAUCACACACCACCGUUGCUUCAGUCUACUGUCACUGUCAACAUCCCAGGAUAUAACAGGUUAUGUCCGGUCAGGUUUAUGAGGCUGGCUGGCACCAUCUGGGAAAGAAUGACCAGGGCUCUCUUGACUUCAAGGCCUUCAAACCUCAACAGUAAAAAGUGACUGCAGUGGAUGGUGAUCUUAUUAUCUCAGUUAUACAGAGAUCUCUUUAAUUGUGUGCAUGUUGGAGGGUUCAAUCAAUUCCUUUUAUUGAACUCAGGAUCUGAGUCAAGAUUCAAUGGUCGUGGACAGGCAAAACGGUCAAAACCAGUUCAGAGUCCAAAGGGUACCGAAGGGCAGGCAGAAUCAAGGUCAGGCCAGGCAGGAUGAUCAGGCAGGCAGGAAAGAAGCCCAGAGUCAGGCAGGGGUCAAAACUAGGACUAGCGAAAAGAGAAUAGCAAAAGUUCUUCCACACCGAUCUCAACACACCAUUUUUGUAUGGGUCUUGGUUUGUGCCCGGGGGCAUUGUCAUGCUGAAACAGGAAAGGGCCUUCCCCAAACUGUUGCCACAAAGUUGAAAGUACAGAAUCAUCUAGAAUGUCAUUGUAUGCUGUAGCGUUAAGAUUUUCCUUCAGUGGAACUAAGGGGCCAAGCCCGAACCAUAAACUGUCCCAGACUAUUAUUCUUCCUCCACCAAGCUUUACAGUUGGCACUAUGCAUUCGGGGCAGGAAGUGUUCUCCUGGCAUCUACCAAUCCCAACUUUGUCUGUCGGACUGCCAGAUGGUGAAGCGUGAUUCAUCACUCCAGAAAAUCACUCCACUGCUCUAGACGUUCACUUCACAAUAACAGCACUUACAGUUGACCGGGGCAGCUCUAGUAGUGCAGAAAUUUGAUGAACUGACUUGUUGGAAAGGUGGCAUGCUAUGACGGUGCCAUGUUGAAAGUCACUGAGCUCCUCAGUAAGGUCAUUCUACUGCCAAUGUUUGUCUAUGGAGAUUGCACGGUUGUAUGCUCGAUUUUAUACACCUGUCAGCAACGGGUGUGGCUGAAAUAGCCGAAUCCCCUAAUUUGAAGGGGUGUCCACAUACUUUUGUAUAUAUAGUGUAGUCAUGUUCAUUUGACAGUCUCUGGUGCCAUUGUUGUCAUCACACAGACACAUAUCUAAUCACAUUGCUAUAGACUUGCACAGAAAAUGUAGGGUUGAUGUUUAUUCCUAAAGACUGAAGAAUGAAAAAGAUAUAGAAUCAGAUACACAAUAUAGAAAUAGAAUCACAUAGAAGUCCUAUUUCUGUGGAUACAAAUAGAUUGCCUGGCUACAAUCCAUAUAGAUUCCCUUUUAUACAACACCAGACAAUGAAUUCCAGUCCAGCCCCUAGCCAGACAAUUUUUAAAAAGACAAGUAGUUAUGUAACUGACACAACCCUCUGGAUGAUGUGCCUUUAAGACUAGUGACUAGUCAGGUGACCAAGGAGAGGAGGUUCGGCUCCAUCAGCUCAGCUCACAGCCAGGCAGAGAGCGAGAGAGAAACCUGAGGAAAGAUCGAUUAUAGAGGAGAGGAAGAGAGAGACAGAAAAAAGGGAGCGAGACCCAAUUAAAUGGGGACACAGGAUCCGUCACGAUCAGAGAGAAAGGGGUGUACAGAGUGGGAAGUGGCAAACUGGUAGCAAGGUCCCUUUAACUGCAGCCCUGUGCUCAGCUGUCUGUGUGGCUGCCAGCAGUGUGUUGGUGUGUCAAGUUCUUUAAGAAGCUGCUGCAUGUGUUUUGUGUAUAGCCACAACAGUGGCACCUGAGAAAGCCCAGAGAAUUAGUGCUGCGUCAUACCACACUUUAUAUUUCUCGAACGAUCUUAGCAAUCUCUUUCUGUGUGUGGUCUGAUCUGUUGGCGUGUAUCAGUGCAAACUAGCCGAAAAUAGAGAGAGUGUGUAUACGCGUGUUUGAGUCAGGCAGGGAGAGAGGGAGGGAGGCAGUCAGAGAGAUUUUGGAUUAGUUGCUACGUCACUUUUUCAUGUCGAGGGGGGGAAACAGAAUCUAAGAUAACAGAAGCCCAGAGUCAUCCGGUUUUCUACCUGAGAGUUAGAUGCAAUGGUUACGGCAAGAACCUCUGCCUCUUCGGCCUCAUCCGUAGAGCUUAUUACCAGCUUCUCCCUCAGCCUCUACAUCUGUACAAUAGUUCAUCUGGAAUUGCAGAGAAGACUUCCAACAUGGAUGCUGAAGAUGAGACACAGUUAGUUUGUGUGGGUGUUUUGAUUGACAUUGAUUAUGAGGUCAGAGUAGAGGGUGGGAAGGGGUUAACAAAAGAACGUUCCGGAAGGUUCUUAUUAUCGAGACGAAGCGCUUGGGGAGCGUAUUCUAGGAAUUAUCGAGGUAAUCGAAUAUUGCUAUUAUAUGGUUACAUAUAUACCAAUACGUGAUUACAUAAAUCAUUAUGUAGAUAUAUAUAUAUAUAUAUAUGUGUGUGUGUGUAAUCCGUGUUGUCUGCCUGUCUGUAACAGGAAUGGAGCUGGUUCGGCUGUAAUAAAAUGUCAUCAUAGGAUACCUUUUCUCCCAUAGUACCUGCUAUUGCGUAUAUGGUCCAAAUCAGGCAAUAACGUUUGUUGAUAUUGCUACGCAGCAUAUUUGUCUGUUACUUGUGAUUAACUCUUCAUAGGGUCGAAGGCAGGAAGGAGGAUGAGAGUGAACCGGGAUCGAGUAAACCAGGGAUCAACCUGGGCUUAUUUUGUUAAUAAGGAAGCCAACAGGAGACCUAUUUGGAGCCUUUAUCUUGUAGCAGACCAGUAUUAUCAUGGGAUUUGUUUUCUGUCUCUAGGGCGGCUGGCUGGGGUUUAGUGGAAACCCUCCCUAAAACAUUGUUUCUAUGUAGUUAGUACAGACUGAAACAGAGGUGGUGUUGUUUCUGCGUCGUUAGUACAAACUGAAACAGAGGGGUGUUGUUUCUGCGUAGUUAGUACAGACUGAAACAGAGGUGGUGUUGUUUCUGCGUAGUUAGUACAGACUGAAACAGAGGGGUGUUGUUUCUGCGUAGUUAGUACAGACUGAAACAGAGGGGUGUUGUUUCUGCGUAGUUAGUACAGACUGAAACAGAGGGGUGUUGUUUCUGCGUAGUUAGUACAGACUGAAACAGAGGUGGUGUUGUUUCUGCGUAGUUAGUACAGACUGAAACAGAGAUUGUGACGCAGUCAUCUACUGAGAUGUACUUCUAUGACAGAAUGGCUCAUGACUGUCCCUGUGUUAUUCUCUCCCUCUCUCGCUGGCUCUCUUUCUCUCCCUCUUGUUCUUUCUUUCUCUCCUGUCUGUUCUUCCUUUCUCUCUCUCUCUCUCGUUCUUGUUCUCUAUCUCUGGAUGGGAGGGAGCAGCAAUUGGGGUUUAAAUGUCAUGGCUCGAGUUCAGAAAGAGAGAGGAACAGAGAAGGAGAAGUUGUUUACCUUGCUUUCUUGGGGACUGCACUGGCAGCUGUCCAGUUCAUAUGCACUAGACUUCCUAUAACUGCUGCAUCACAGGCCUGAGUGCCAGAGCUGGCCUCCCGUUGGGUGGGAGGACCUCCCCAGACUCUGGUGGCAGCACAAUGCUAUUGGACGAGCAGAAGGGAGCAGGUGGUGGACAGCUUCUGACUGGUGAAGUAGUGUUAUCGUGCAGUACGUUUUUUUAAUGUUGUAUGCGUUCUACAGGGGUACUAAUAAAAUGUGUACAGUAACAGUACAUGGUUUUAUUUUACAUUGUUCCUUAUCUACAGUAAUAUAAGCUGUAUGUACUGUAUAUUACAAUGUAUUACAUUGUUAGUCCUUGGCUGAAAGGAGCGGAAACAUGAGCACUGUAGGUAAACACGAGUGUGUAUCUGUUUACUAAGCUCCAGUAAUGUCUUGUGUAAUGUGUUCUCACAGUCUGAUUGGUUUGGGUGUACUACGUCAUGUUGACAUUGAUCAGCCCCUGUCUUUUUCCUGUUAUGCUGGGGGCCAAACACAGUCCACUUCCUGUUCUGUCUGGACUCUGUACCAAUCGCUUCUCCUCCCCUUCCCAGAGGGAAGUCUAUACUUACUUAGUGUUUGAUUUUGUUGCUCUACUACGAUUGUGGUCCGUGAGAUGGGGAGCAACGGAGGGUUCUCUGAACUGGCAUUCUGUGAUGUCACAAACCUGCCACAUUGCUACUUUCUAAAGUGAUGCAAGAACGACUGUGUUUGUCAAGGGUCUGCAUUGCAUCCACUACUGCUGCAGUUGGCGCCUCUCUCUCCGUCUCAGAAACACACACUCGCAUUCACAAGACGAGUGUGAUACACACCCAUAAAGAAAACACAUACUGAGUUGGGCUUGCGCAAACUGCAAGGCUUUGAGGCUGAGGGUUCCACAGCUGGUGUCACCCCAUGGGGGUCAUUUCUUAUGAAUGACGAUGCAACAAGAAAGCGCUUGCCUGACAGUGUGUGGUGGGGACACACACAGCAUGUCAUUAGAUGGGCACAGGGAGAGGAGACCCAUACCCCAGUGUUUGAGUGUGUCGUUUCACUUUCUUUUCUCACUAGUAGGCAGUCGUGAAAUAGCUUUUUGAAUAGAUAUCUAUGAGCAUUUUGCCAUGGUAGAUAUGAUUUUAUCCUGAAUGGGUGAAUGUUUCUAAUCUCAAUUAAUAUUCACGUCAGGGUGUAAAAAAAUAUAAACCCAGCAUGCAACAAUUUGAACGAUUUUACUGAGUUACAGUUCAUAUGAGGAAAUCCGUCAAUUGAAAUACAUUUAUUAGGCCCUAAUCUAGGGAUUUCACAUGACUGGGAAUACAGAUAUGCAUCUGUUGGUCACAGAUACCUUUAAAAAAAGGCAGGGGAGUGGAUCAGAAAACCAGUCAGCAUCAGUGUGACCACCAUUUGCCUCAUGCAGUGCGACACAUUUCCUUCAUAUUGUCACGCCCUGGCCUUAGUAUUCUUUGUUUUCUUUAUUAUUUUAGUUAGGUCAGGGUGUGACAUGGGUAUUUAUGUGGGUUUUGUAGUGUUCAGGGUGAUUGUAAGGUUUAGGGGGUUUAUUUAGAGUAGUUGGGUUUAUGUUGUUUAUGCUGUCAGAGCAGCUCAUAGAUUACUGCACCUGUACAUAGCCCAUCUAUAAUUUAGCCCAAACAACUACCUCUUUACCUACUGUAUUUAUUUAUUUUGCUCCUUUGCACCCCAUUAUUUCUAUCUCUACUUUGCACCUUUUUCCACUGCAAACCAACCAUUCCAGUGUUUUUUUUACUUGCUGUAUUGUAUUUACUUCGCCACCAUGGCCUUUUUAUAUUUUUAUUUAUUUAUAUAUAUAUUUUGUUUGCCUUCACCUCCCUUAUCUCACCUCACUUGCUCAUAUUGUAUAUAGACUUAUUUUUCACUGUAUUAUUGACUGUAUGUUUGUUUUACUCCAUGUGUAACUAUGUGUUGUUGUAUGUGUCGAACUGCUUUGCUUUAUCUUGGCCAGGUCGCAAUUGUAAAUGAGAACGUGUUCUCAAUUUGCCUACCUGGUUAAAUAAAGGUGAAAUAAAUAAAUAAAAAUAAAUGUUUAGUAUAGUUGUCUA